Leptonychotes weddellii (Weddell seal) is the source of this 339-nucleotide long non-coding RNA. RefSeq lists it as uncharacterized. The record is from RefSeq and is a predicted model, not a curated record. Lineage: Eukaryota; Metazoa; Chordata; Mammalia; Carnivora; Phocidae.
CGGGCACGCUGCACAGGAGAAGAGGAGGAGCAAGCUUGAGGGGCUUCCUCACACGGCACAACAUUUUACCGGUAUUGAAUAUGUGAAAGUUCUCUCUCCAGUCUGGUAUGUGAUCAGAGAUUUCUAUACUUCCGGAUGUGGGGUUUGGACGUGGCAUGGUUGAUGGUGAGAGAGAAGAGUUUUUGGUUCCCCAUUCCAAGCCUGUCUGCCAUGUUGCAGCCCUACCCCUCCUCUCUCGACGGAGGUUUGUGACAGUGUUAUUAGUCAACUUGUAGUGAUCAGGUUGAGAAAGGCCAUAUAACUCCCCCAAAGUGCAAAAGGAACAACAACAAACCAUUC